Molecule: small nuclear RNA, 196 nt
Organism: Xenopus tropicalis (tropical clawed frog)
Lineage: Eukaryota; Metazoa; Chordata; Amphibia; Anura; Pipidae
Gene: U2
Rfam family: U2 spliceosomal RNA
About the family: U2 is a small nuclear RNA (snRNA) component of the spliceosome (involved in pre-mRNA splicing).
Source: Ensembl
AUCGCUUCUCGGCCUUUUGGCCUAAGAUCAAGUGUAGUAUCUGUUCUUAUCAGUUUAAUAUCUGAUACGUCCCCCUAUCUGGGGACCAUAUAUUAAAAUGGAUUUUUGGAAACAGGGAGAUGGAAGAAGAGCUUGCUCUGUCCACUCCACGCAUCGACCUGGUAUUGGCAGUACCUCCAGGACCGGUGCCACCUCU